GAUGAACGCUGGCGGCGUGCCUAAUACAUGCAAGUCGAGCGAACAGACGAGGAGCUUGCUCCUCUGACGUUAGCUGCGGACGGGUGAGUAACACGUGGAUAACCUACCUAUAAGACUGGGAUAACUUCGGGAAACCGGAGCUAAUACCGGAUAAUAUAUUGAACCGCAUGGUUCAAUAGUGAAAGACGGUUUUGCUGUCACUUAUAGAUGGAUCCCCGCCGCAUUAGCUAGUUGGUAAGGUAACGGCUUACCAAGGCAACGAUGCGUAGCCGACCUGAGAGGGUGAUCGGCCACACUGGAACUGAGACACGGUCCAGACUCCUACGGGAGGCAGCAGUAGGGAAUCUUCCGCAAAGGGCGAAAGCCUGACGGAGCAACGCCGCGUGAGUGAUGAAGGUCUUCGGAUCGUAAAACUCUGUUAUUAGGGAAGAACAAAUGUGUAAGUAACUAUGCACGUCUUGACGGUACCUAAUCAGAAAGCCACGGCUAACUACGUG
Molecule: ribosomal RNA, 497 nt
Filed under: uncultured bacterium
Lineage: Bacteria
Description: partial 16S ribosomal RNA
Rfam family: Bacterial small subunit ribosomal RNA
Source: RNAcentral